GGGAGCCGUGUUUAUUGGACGCCUCGCACAGGUAGGAGGCGGAGUCUUCCAGCGUAGCAGAACGUAUGCUGAAGGUGAGAGGAGAGCCGUCCUCGUGUACCCGCACCACCUUCUCUCCUCUUUUCACCAGCAGUUUUGGAGCAGGGGCUCCGUCUGAGCUGCAGAAAGGCCGGCCAUGGGGAUGAAGAGCUGACCUGCCGCACUUUUCCUGAUGGACCAACCAUCUUUGGUCUUGAAGCUCCAGGUGAUCCUUGGAUCUGGGUUUCCCUCUGCCGAACAGUUGAGCGUGACUGGAGAGUCGGCUCUCACCUCCACUGGUUCUGAUAUCGCCACGACAACAGGAGCAUCUGUGAGGGAGAGGGGGAGGAGUCAGCUCUCAGAUCAGAUUGAACAAGUGUAGCCCUGCAGGUGAUGCUCCCCCCUGAGUCCUGCUUCUGAGGGGUGAACUUGUACUCCACCGGGCCUGAGGUUCCACUCAUCAGGAUGGUGUCCCCUCUGAACCAGCUGAGAUUGAGGUGCGCAGUGGGAUAUAGGUCAGGCACCUGGCAGGUUAAUGCAGACUCCACCCCCAGCUUCAGCUGGUCCUGACCUGAGAUCACCGGGGCUGAAGGGAAGGCUGGAACCACACAGAGGACAGACAGUUCAGGUGACUGAGCAGAGCAGCGACCCCUCAUGCUCCCUCCCCACGGGGUCCAAGGUCAGUACGCUGUGAGUUUGAUUGCUACUGCUCAGAGCAGACAGAGGACGGUCCUCCAAUGAAGACCAGAACAAGGUCGGCUUCACAGGACAGUCCUGCACCGAGCAGACCAGCUGCUGACGCUCACCCAGCCUUAAAAGAGGAUCCUUGGGGAGCAGGCUUACGAGAAGUCCUUGAACGCACCACGAGGAUACCAGCACAAUAACUGUGGAUCAAAACACAAGGAUCACUGUCGAGAUCCCACUAACUGAUGAUCAAACAUGAGUAACUACAACUGUUUAAGUCAGAUGAACUCAUCAAAAUGACCCACUUGUCAAGUUUUUCCCUCCUGAGUGGGGCUUGUGGAAUAAACGUGAUUAAGUGGCCAAUCAAAGGCCAUUCAAUCAGGAUUGAUA
This is a long non-coding RNA of Oryzias melastigma (Indian medaka), 1092 nucleotides long. RefSeq lists it as uncharacterized. Lineage: Eukaryota; Metazoa; Chordata; Actinopteri; Beloniformes; Adrianichthyidae. The record is from RefSeq and is a predicted model, not a curated record. The transcript has 4 exons.